This 581-nucleotide long non-coding RNA is filed under the name Mytilus galloprovincialis (Mediterranean mussel). The record is from RNAcentral. Lineage: Eukaryota; Metazoa; Mollusca; Bivalvia; Mytilida; Mytilidae.
GUAAUAGGAAUAUGUUCUUGCCGAUUUAUAAUCUUAAAGCAAAAAUGGCAGUGAAAAAUCUGGCAUUGUCAUUACGGUAUUAUUGUUUGGCCUAAUUGAACCUAACAAUGUAAAUGACACACAGGGUAUACAUGUGGGAACAGAUUCCUACCCCUUUUUUUUAGUUGUAAAAACACUGCAAAUCAAUGCUAAGCAGCGGCUUAUGGUUUUUUGAGGGGUAAUACUCUUGCACCCUCUUUAUUUAAUAUAUAGAUGUGUUUGAUGUUUGACAGAAUUUAAUCUUGAAGAGUGGGGUUCUGACAAUUGAUAUUAAAAUUUCAGGUUUUGAGGAGUGAGAAUCUCGUCUUAUAGUAGAUUAGAAGCUUAUGCAAGUAAAAAUUUGUUGACGGAUGGCGUAAAUGUAGAGAAAAUAUUGCUAAGAAAAGAACCACUAACACAAAUUAUUGGGGAGACAAACCAUACAUAUUCUGCAAUGAGCUCUUUUGGUUGAAGACAGGGUUUCUAGACAAAUAUUAAAUGAACAAAGCAUGAUUAUUAAAAAAAGAAACCCUGUCCAAGUCUCAACAAAUGGCAAUUGUCUC